Molecule: ribosomal RNA, 189 nt
Filed under: uncultured bacterium
Lineage: Bacteria
Description: partial 16S ribosomal RNA
Rfam family: Bacterial small subunit ribosomal RNA
Source: RNAcentral
UCGCCUGUAUGAAGUCGGAAUUGCUAGUAAUCGCGGAUCAGCAUGCCGCGGUGAAUACGUUCCCGGGCCUUGUACACACCGCCCGUCACACCAUGAGAGCCGGGAACACCCGAAGUCCGUAGUCUAACCGCAAGGAGGACGCGGCCGAAGGUGGGUUUGGUAAUUGGGGUGAAGUCGUAACAAGGUACC